This 377-nucleotide unclassified non-coding RNA is filed under the name uncultured Alphaproteobacteria bacterium. Its description in RNAcentral is "contains 16S-23S intergenic spacer region". Lineage: Bacteria; Pseudomonadati; Pseudomonadota; Alphaproteobacteria. The record is from RNAcentral.
UCCGGCUUAUCACCGGCAGUUUCCUUAGAGUGCCCAACUGAAUGAUGGCAACUAAGGACGAGGGUUGCGCUCGUUGCGGGACUUAACCCAACAUCUCACGACACGAGCUGACGACAGCCAUGCAGCACCUGUGCACGGUCCAGCCGAGCUGAAGGCUCCCUUUUCUGAGAGCCGCGACCGGCAUGUCAAGGCCUGGUAAGGUUCUUCGCGUUGCCUCGAAUUAAACCACAUGCUCCACCGCUUGUGCGGGUCCCCGUCAAUUCCUUUGAGUUUUAACCUUGCGGCCGUACUCCCCAGGCGGAGUGCUUAACGCGUUAGCUGCGACACCAAGGAUGACUCCCUGACGUCUAGCACUCAUCGUUUACGGCGUGGACUAC